CCUUCGCCUAGGUCGUA
RNAcentral lists this non-coding RNA (17 nucleotides) under Mus musculus (house mouse). The record is from RNAcentral. Lineage: Eukaryota; Metazoa; Chordata; Mammalia; Rodentia; Muridae.